GACGAACGCUGGCGGCGUGCCUAAUACAUGCAAGUAGAACGCACAGUUUAUACCGUAGCUUGCUACACCAUAGACUGUGAGUUGCGAACGGGUGAGUAACGCGUAGGUAACCUGCCUGGUAGCGGGGGAUAACUAUUGGAAAUGAUAGCUAAUACCGCAUAAUAUUAAUUAUUGCAUGAUAAUUAAUUGAAAGGUGCAAUUGCACCACUACCAGAUGGACCUGCGUUGUAUUAGCUAGUAGGUGAGGUAACGGCUCACCUAGGCGACGAUACAUAGCCGACCUGAGAGGGUGAUCGGCCACACUGAGACUGAGACACGGCCCAGACUCCUACGGGAGGCAGCAGUAGGGAAUCUUCGGCAAUGGACGGAAGUCUGACCGAGCAACGCCGCGUGAGUGAAGAAGGAUUUCGGAUCGUAAAGCUCUGUUGUAAGAGAAGAACGGGUGUGAGAGUGGAAAGUUCACACUGUGACGGUAUCUGACCAGAAAGAGACGGCUAACUACGUG
This 505-nucleotide ribosomal RNA is filed under the name uncultured bacterium. Its description in RNAcentral is "partial 16S ribosomal RNA". It matches the Rfam family "Bacterial small subunit ribosomal RNA", at positions 28 to 507 of the family's 1533-position model. The record is from RNAcentral.